Molecule: ribosomal RNA, 467 nt
Filed under: uncultured bacterium
Lineage: Bacteria
Description: partial 16S ribosomal RNA
Rfam family: Bacterial small subunit ribosomal RNA
Source: RNAcentral
GACGAACGCUGGCGGCGUGCUUAACACAUGCAAGUCGAACGGAAAGGCCUCUUUCGGGGGGUACUCGAGUGGCGAACGGGUGAGUAACACGUGAGUAACCUGCCCUUGACUUUGGGAUAACUUCAGGAAACUGGGGCUAAUACCGGAUAGGAGCUCCUGCUGCAUGGUGGGGGUUGGAAAGUUUCGGCGGGUGGGGAUGGACUCGCGGCGUAUCAGCUUGUUGGUGGGGUGGUGGCUUACCAAGGCUUUGACGGGUAGCCGGCCUGGGAGGGUGACCGGCCACAUUGGGACUGGGAUACGGCCCAGACUCCUACGGGGGGCAGCAGUGGGGAAUAUUGCACAAUGGGUGGAAGCCUGAUGCAGCAACGCCGUGGGCGGGAUGACGGCCUUCGGGUUGUAAACCGCUUUCGCUCAUGACGAAGCUUUGUGUGACGGUAGUGGGUAAAGAAGCACCGGCUAACUACGUG